This 887-nucleotide ribosomal RNA is filed under the name uncultured organism. RNAcentral's name for it is "SSU rRNA". It matches the Rfam family "Bacterial small subunit ribosomal RNA", at positions 27 to 894 of the family's 1533-position model. The record is from RNAcentral.
GUACGAACGCUGGCGGCGUGCCUAAUACAUGCAAGUCGAGCGGACGAAUCGAAAGCUUGCUUUUGAUUCGUUAGCGGCGGACGGGUGAGUAACACGUGGGCAACCUGCCCUGUAGACGGGGAUAACACCGAGAAAUCGGUGCUAAUACCGGAUAACACGAAAUGUCGCAUGACGUUUCGUUGAAAGACGGCGCAAGCUGUCGCUACAGGAUGGGCCCGCGGCGCAUUAGCUAGUUGGUGAGGUAACGGCUCACCAAGGCGACGAUGCGUAGCCGACCUGAGAGGGUGAUCGGCCACACUGGGACUGAGACACGGCCCAGACUCCUACGGGAGGCAGCAGUAGGGAAUCUUCCGCAAUGGACGAAAGUCUGACGGAGCAACGCCGCGUGAGCGAAGAAGGCCUUCGGGUCGUAAAGCUCUGUUGUUAGGGAAGAACAAGUAGCGCAGUAACUGGCGUUACCGUGACGGUACCUAACGAGAAAGCCACGGCUAACUACGUGCCAGCAGCCGCGGUAAUACGUAGGUGGCAAGCGUUGUCCGGAAUUAUUGGGCGUAAAGCGCGCGCAGGCGGUUCCUUAAGUCUGAUGUGAAAGUCCACGGCUCAACCGUGGAGGGUCAUUGGAAACUGGGGGACUUGAGUGCAGAAGAGGAGAGCGGAAUUCCACGUGUAGCGGUGAAAUGCGUAGAGAUGUGGAGGAACACCAGUGGCGAAGGCGGCUCUCUGGUCUGUAACUGACGCUGAGGCGCGAAAGCGUGNGGAGCAAACAGGAUUAGAUACCCUGGUAGUCCACGCCGUAAACGAUGAGUGCUAAGUGUUAGAGGGUAUCCACCCUUUAGUGCUGUAGCUAACGCAUUAAGCACUCCGCCUGGGGAGUACGCUCGCAAGAG